This 253-nucleotide ribosomal RNA is filed under the name uncultured bacterium. RNAcentral's name for it is "partial 16S ribosomal RNA". It matches the Rfam family "Bacterial small subunit ribosomal RNA", at positions 524 to 776 of the family's 1533-position model. The record is from RNAcentral.
UACAGAGACUGCAAGCGUUAUUCGGAUUCACUGGGCGUAAAGGGUGCGCAGGUGGCCGUGUGUGUGAGGCGUGAAAGCCCGGGGCUUAACCCCGGAAUUGCACCUCAAACUACAUGGCUAGAGCAUUGGAGAGGGUAGCGGAAUUCACGGUGUAGCAGUGAAAUGCGUAGAUAUUGUGAGGAACACCAGAGGCGAAGGCGGCUACCUGGACGAUUGCGGACACUCAGGCACGAAAGCGUGGGGAGCAAAAGGG